CACGCUAUGCCAUUUGC
RNAcentral lists this unclassified non-coding RNA (17 nucleotides) under Mus musculus (house mouse). RNAcentral's name for it is "oocyte_clustered_small_RNA8415". Lineage: Eukaryota; Metazoa; Chordata; Mammalia; Rodentia; Muridae. The record is from RNAcentral.